Molecule: ribosomal RNA, 253 nt
Filed under: uncultured bacterium
Lineage: Bacteria
Also listed under: 1 other name
Description: partial 16S ribosomal RNA
Rfam family: Bacterial small subunit ribosomal RNA
Source: RNAcentral
UACGGGGGGUGCGAGCGUUGUCCGGAAUCACUGGGCGUAAAGGGCGCGUAGGCGGUUUGGUAAGGCUGUGGUGAAAGCCCGGGGCUCAACCCCGGGUCUGCCGUGGCGACUGUCAGACUGGAGGGCUCGAGAGGCAGACGGAAUUCCGGGUGUAGCGGUGGAAUGCGUAGAGAUCCGGAAGAAGACCGGUGGCGAAGGCGGUCUGCUGGCGAGUCCCUGACGCUGAGGCGCGACAGCGUGGGGAGCAAACAGG